Molecule: unclassified non-coding RNA, 144 nt
Filed under: uncultured Chaetosphaeria
Lineage: Eukaryota; Fungi; Ascomycota; Sordariomycetes; Chaetosphaeriales; Chaetosphaeriaceae
Description: sequence contains ITS2
Source: RNAcentral
CCACCCUCAGGCCCUGCCUGGUGUUGGGGGCCUGCGCCUGCAGCCCCUGAAAGACAGCGGCGGUCCCGUGUCUAGGUCCCGAGCGUAGUAUCUCACCUCGCUCCGGGCGCCUGGCGGGCUCCGGCCGUAAGCCAUACUUUACAA